CAUAAUCAUUAGUUUUUUAAUUGUAAACUUGUAUGAAGGGUUGAACAAAGGAGAAGCUGUCUCUAUUAUAAAUUUUGAAUUUGACUUUUAAGUGAAAAGGCUUAAAUGAUUUAGAAAGACGAUAAGACCCUAUAAAGUUUUAUAAAUUGUUAAUAUUUUAAUAAAAUUUAUAUAAAAUUAUAAUGUUUUUAUUUUAUUUUAUUGGGGCGAUAAGAAUAUAAUUUUUUUAACUGUUUAAUAAGUAUACAUUUAUUUAUGAAUAAGAUUAUAAUUGAUCCUUUUUAAAGAUUACAAGUCUAAGUUACUUUAGGGAUAACAGCGUUAUUUUUCUUGAGAGUUCAUAUCGAAAGAGAAGUUUGCGACCUCGAUGUUGAAUUAAAUUAUCUAUAUAAUGAAGAAGUUAUAUGAG
Molecule: ribosomal RNA, 409 nt
Filed under: Schizophrys aspera
Lineage: Eukaryota; Metazoa; Arthropoda; Malacostraca; Decapoda; Majidae
Description: partial 16S ribosomal RNA
Source: RNAcentral